This 387-nucleotide ribosomal RNA is filed under the name uncultured bacterium. RNAcentral describes it as "bacterial SSU rRNA". It matches the Rfam family "Bacterial small subunit ribosomal RNA", at positions 28 to 417 of the family's 1533-position model. The record is from RNAcentral.
GACGAACGCUGGCGGCGUGCUUAACACAUGCAAGUCGAGCGGUAAGGCCCCUUCGGGGGUACACGAGCGGCGAACGGGUGAGUAACACGUGAGCAACCUACCCUCAACUUCGGGAUAAGCCUCGGAAACGGGGUCUAAUACCGGAUAUCACUCCAUUCUUCAUGGUUUGGGGUUGAAAGUUCUGGCGGUUGGGGAUGGGCUCGCGGCCUAUCAGCUUGUUGGUGGGGUAAUGGCCUACCAAGGCGUCGACGGGUAGCCGGCCUGAGAGGGCGACCGGCCACACUGGGACUGAGACACGGCCCAGACUCCUACGGGAGGCAGCAGUGGGGAAUAUUGCGCAAUGGGCGAAAGCCUGACGCAGCAACGCCGCGUGAGGGAUGACGGCCU